This 422-nucleotide ribosomal RNA is filed under the name uncultured bacterium. Its description in RNAcentral is "partial 16S ribosomal RNA". It matches the Rfam family "Bacterial small subunit ribosomal RNA", at positions 360 to 774 of the family's 1533-position model. The record is from RNAcentral.
AAUCUUCCGCAAUGGACGAAAGUCUGAGUGAGCAACGCCGCGUGAGUGAUGAAGGCUUUCGGAUCGUAAAACUCUGUUUUUAGGGAAGUACAAGUAUCGGAGUCACUGCCGGUACCUUUACUGUACCUGACGAACUAGCCACGGCUAACUACCUGCCAGCCGCCGCGGUCAUACGUAGGUGGCACGCGUUGUCAGGAAUUAUCGGGCGUAAAGCGCGAGCAGGCGGUCGUUUAAGUCGGAUGUGAAAGCCCACGGCUCAACCGUGGAGGGUCAUUGGAAACUGGGGGACUUGAGUGAAGAAGAGGAAAGUGGAAUUCCAAGUGUAGCGGUGAAAUGCGUAGAGAUUUGGAGGAACACCAGUGGCGAAGGCGACUUUCUGGUCUGUAACUGACGCUGAGGCGCGAAAGCGUGGGGAGCAAACA